This 1929-nucleotide ribosomal RNA is filed under the name Triticum aestivum (bread wheat). RNAcentral's name for it is "partial small subunit ribosomal RNA". The record is from RNAcentral. Lineage: Eukaryota; Viridiplantae; Streptophyta; Magnoliopsida; Poales; Poaceae.
AUGGAUCUACUUCUGCCGCUCAUCUCGCUUUUAUUGGUCGCUGGCGGAGGAGGCGGGUGGCUUGGGAGCUUCGUCGACGCGGCCACGACAGCGGUGCCAAACUUGGAGGAGGUAUCAUCGGCGGCGUACUGGGAGGCAGUGCUUCCUGGAACUCCAAUGCCUCCAGCUAUCAUCAACCUGCUGUUAGCCCAACAAAACGUUCACACCUCUCCAGAUGAUAUUAUUAUUAAUGCAAAUAACCUCAAGUCUGGCAAAGGAACACGGAAAAUUGGAUCAUACUAUGAAAAACUCAAGUUGGAACCUGCCCAUGAGGAUAAACAUGUUCAUAUUUCAUCACAAGUUGAAGAAGAAGCAGGCAAAAUAUUUGCAACACAUAGAACAAACAUGGGAGAAAAUAUAAAGGAAAUAUUAGUGUCAUAUGGGUUAGAAGGCAAGACAUACUUAAACAAAGUUCUCCCAAACUUAAAGAAGAUCUUUGCAACAUAUAAGCCAAGGAAACAAGACAAUAUAAAGGAAAUAUCUAUAUCAUAUGGAUCAAAAGGUGGAAAGGAUGAAACAGAAGUCUCACGGGCAUAUGGGUUAGAAGGUGAAAAGGAGUUGAAAGAAAUAUCUUUGUCUUAUGGGGUAGAAGGCGAGGAUGUUUUAAAGGAAAUCUCUGUGUCAUAUGAGGUAGAAGUCAGGAAGAGUCUAAAGGGAGCACCUGUUUCAUAUGGGAAAGAACAAGAAGGAAAGUUGAAGGAAAUCUCCAUGUCAUAUGGGUUGGACGAAGGCAAAUGUGAUUACAAUAAAUUCUUGAACCGAGAUGCAGAGGAUCCACAUAAAGCUACAAUGUCAUAUGGAUCUGAACAUGAAGAGGAUCCACAUAAAGCUACAAUGUCAUAUGGAUCGGAAAUUGAAGAGGAUCCACAUAAAGCUACAGUGUCAUAUGGAUCUGAACAUGAAGAUGAUCCACAUAAAGCUACAAUGUCAUAUGGAUCAGAAAAUGAAGAGGAUCCACAUAAAGCUACAGUGUCAUAUGGAUCUGAACAUGAAGAUGAUCCACAUAAAGCUACAAUGUCAUACGGGUCAGAACAUGAAGAGGAUCCAUAUAAAGCCACCAUGUCAUAUGGGUCAGGACAUGAAAAGGAUCUAAAGACAUUUUCAACAGGACAUGCGACACAUUUAAAAGGAGAGGGGAGUCACCAUGCUCACUCUCACGAGCACGGGAACAAAAAACAGGCAGACGUUUUCUUCUUCCACGACAUGUUGCGGCCAGGUUCUGUGAUAACUCCAACCAUCCCACUGACAACCUCCUUGCCGGCCCGUCUUCCCCACGGCAUUGCCAAAUCCAUCCCGUUCUCCAAGGAGCGCCUCUCCGACAUCAUGGCGAUAUUUGCACCGGCGUCGCUCGCGAUGGCCAGAGAGAUACGAUGGACGCUGGACACCUGCGACCACCCGCGGCCGCUUCCCGGCCAAAAAGCAGGCUGCGCCACCUCCCUCGAGUCCCUCGCCGAGCUAGCAGCAUCCCUUCAUGGGACGCAUAACGUCCGUGCGUUCUCGGCUGCCAAUCUGCCCGUCGAUGCCGAAGGCACGCCAGCGUUGCGCGGGAUGUACAACGUGACGGCGGUGCGUAAGCUCUCCGACUCACCGGAGAUCGUGACCUGCCAUGAUCUGACGUACCCAUACACGGUGUACUAUUGCCACACCGCCAACCCUACCUCCGCGUACACGGUCACCCUUGAGAGCGUGGAUGGCGCAAUGGCGCCGGCGGUGAUGGAGGCUCUAGCCGUGUGCCACCUUGACACGUCGCGGUGGAGCCCGAAGAACCCGUUCUUUGAGCUGCACAACCUCAAGCCGGGGGAUGUCGCCGUGUGCCAUUUCCUUACUAAGCUCAGCAUCAUCUGGGUGCGUGGUGGUGAGCAGGGAGACACACAUGCGGCAGCCCGUUAG